CGCGCUGCCGCCCGACAGCAAAGCAUCAAACCCGGACCUGAACUGGGUGGCGAGUUCCCUGUGCAGGACAUGAAGACUGGUGAGGGUGGCCUGCUGCAGGUGACCCUGGAAGGGAUCAACCUCAAAUUCAUGCACAAUCAGUGUUACCUUUUUCUCUCAGUGGACAUUCCUUAAGCUAAU
RNAcentral lists this small RNA (180 nucleotides) under Pongo abelii (Sumatran orangutan). RNAcentral's name for it is "processed transcript". The record is from RNAcentral. Lineage: Eukaryota; Metazoa; Chordata; Mammalia; Primates; Hominidae.